Molecule: long non-coding RNA, 1574 nt
Organism: Brassica oleracea var. oleracea
Lineage: Eukaryota; Viridiplantae; Streptophyta; Magnoliopsida; Brassicales; Brassicaceae
Exons: 3
Source: RefSeq, a predicted model, not a curated record
UCCGCUUCGUUUCAACCAAUUCUAAACUCUGUCUUGCCGUUACUACGACCCUUACUUCGUCAAUCAAUGAUGGUACUCACUUCCUUCCACCUCCCAUUGAUUCUUUUCUUAUAUAAAUCGCAUCGUCUAAACCUAAAUCCAUCCAAAAUUGAAAAGAUAUUCUCACACCUCUGUUCUCACCGUCAUUGAAGAUAUCCGACUCUCUCCAUGAAGACUUCCAAGCUAAAUGUGUGGAAGAAAUAGAGUAGGGUUGAAUUGAUUUUAGAUGUUCUUAGGAGGGGUGACCUCUACGUCUCCCAUACAAACAUUGAAAAUUAACCGCCAGUGCCAACAGUUCUGUUGUCCUUUUAGUCACUACAGUGAACCCAAAACGCCUUGGAGGUAAUCAUUUCUCCUUCCCUUCUACCUAACAAUUUAGCUUUAAUCGUGACAUUAUGUCUAAAUGUGUAAAUAUAUUUAGUCAAUGUAGAAAUGUAAGCAUGAUAAAAUCGAAUUCUCUAAAAGAUAGUCUAUGCAUAUGUCUUGGGAACUAACACUUAACAUUUAGCCCUGACUAUGUUCAUUUAUCUGUGAUUAGUGAACACUAGCUAGGGGUUCGCCGGAUGUUUCCGGAAUGGUUUGUCACCGGAUGCUACUGUGAGACUUGAAGCAUCAUAUUUUGGAUUUUUAGUUUGGCCUCAUGAACUCUAACUUGAAUAAACAAACUUAUGCUAAAUAGUGUGCUCUUCAUAUGGCAUCAAGUUCAGCUCGAUGUCUACUGUUAGAUUUUCAUUGCUUUUCAAAAAAUGUGUUGAUUUCCACUUAACGUUAUGUUGCCGUUUGGUCAAUCAGUUUUCCUGACGUGUUUAAGAAAACAGGGAACCUUGCCGUCAGUUCAGUGUCAUCCCCACAUGUGUUUUAUGGACUACGGUGUCCAACCCACCAUUGAUUACUUCAACUGGUUGGGUUCUAACCCAGAGAUUGAAAAGCUGGUGAAUGCAGAGGAGGUUACUAAGGCUAGGCUGAGAUACUGACAGCUGGACAAAUCUAUGCUUACAUCAAAAAGAAAUUCGCCAGGGUCAAAUUACAGCUCUAGAUAACUCACUCGGAAACAGAGGCCUUUUUAUGUAGAUCAAUUGCAUUUAUCCCAUAGCAGGAAGGUCUUUCAAAUGCGUAUCCACAAUUUGAUGUGCAGCGAGCCAGCGACUUCUUGGUAUUUUGUUGUUGUGCCCAAAGUUUGGUAACAUUAACGUAUCCGGGGUUGCAAAGUAUGAACUCUAACCUCUAAAACCAUUCAUGUCUUGACUAGAAUUUGACUUUAGUUCCCUCUUGAUCACAAGUACCUUGCUAAGAUCUCUAUCUACGACAAAAAUUACCAGGCUGUUUUCGUGCUGCUUGGUAAUGCAAGCCAUGAGUUGACUGGAAAGCAUUCCUCGGAAAUGACAGCAAGUUAUAGAACUCUCAAGUCAUGUAAACUCACUUUAUUUUUCCAUUAAUGUUACGCCAAUCCAGAUCUUGGUGCUGGCCAUGAGAUGCAUGCCCUCCCCCAAGCUUUAAUUUAUAUCAUUGGUCAAACACACAAGUUCAGGGUCAAA